GGCUACGCUCGUCGCAUCGCCGAUUGCAUGUGUAGUCGUGCGGACAGAAGGGAGCUUGCUCCCGGAUGUUAGCGGCGGACGGGUGAGUAACACGUGGGUAACCUGCCUGUAAGACUGGGAUAACUCCGGGAAACCGGAGCUAAUACCGGAUAGUUCCUUGAACCGCAUGGUUCAAGGAUGAAAGACGGUUUCGGCUGUCACUUACAGAUGGACCCGCGGCGCAUUAGCUAGUUGGUGAGGUAACGGCUCACCAAGGCGACGAUGCGUAGCCGACCUGAGAGGGUGAUCGGCCACACUGGGACUGAGACACGGCCCAGACUCCUACGGGAGGCAGCAGUAGGGAAUCUUCCGCAAUGGACGAAAGUCUGACGGAGCAACGCCGCGUGAGUGAUGCACGUCUUCGGAUCGUAAAGCUCUGUUGUUAGGGGAAGAACAAGUGCAAGAGUAACUGCUUGCACCUUGACGGUACCUAACCAGAAAGCCACGGCUAACUACGUGCCAGCAGCCGCGGUAAUACGUAGGGGCAGCGUUGUCGAAUUAUUGGGCGGAAGGGUCGAGGCUUUUCUUAAUCUGAUGUAAGCCCCGGCUCACGGGAGGUCAUGGAACUGGAAUUGAGCAAAAGAGAGGAAUCCCGGAAAU
RNAcentral lists this ribosomal RNA (639 nucleotides) under Bacillus pumilus. RNAcentral's name for it is "bacterial SSU rRNA". It matches the Rfam family "Bacterial small subunit ribosomal RNA", at positions 26 to 668 of the family's 1533-position model. Lineage: Bacteria; Bacillati; Bacillota; Bacilli; Caryophanales; Bacillaceae. The record is from RNAcentral.